AUGACUCCCGCAACUGUUCCUCUCCCGAAACCCACCAGAGGCGAUUUCCCCUCCUCCUUUGAGAAUCGCCGAUGGAUAAUCCCUGAAACCCGAAGCCCCACGAAAUCCAAUCCCGAGUUCCUCCUCUACAAUCCUACCCAACAAUCUUUAGCCAGUAUAAAAGACCACCUCCGUUUCACCACAAGUGCCAUCAAAAACCUGAAGCUCCGCGUCGCAUCCUUGAGAGUUCAAUUGGAGAGGUCCGAUGCCAAAUCCCGUAUAGGCCGUCUCUCUAAUGAUGAGUGGAAGGAGCUGCCGGACCCAGGACAUUCACAAUCAACGGAGCCAGGUACUAAUUCGUCCAUUAAGGGACAUGAAGAACAUGACGAUUCACGGGUGUCGUUUCGUCCCGAGGAGAAGGAAACGCCAUCAUUUACAAGGAGUAAAUCAGAGAAUAAAGCAGGUAUUAACAAGGUCUUGGAGGAAUUUCUAUUUAGAGGGAGCCUUCUACUGCAGAAUCCAUCCCAAGCUCCGCACAUCCAGUAUCGGUCUCUUCCCGUGCUCACAAGGUGUUUGGGUUUUUGCCUGAGUGCAACGAUGGAGGCGAAGAAGAGCUUCCAGGAGGCGACUGGUCCUGGUGCUGCCAGGGAGCUGGCGGCUGUUCCUUCAGCUGGGAACUCGGGCAUCUUCUUCUCCACCUCUCAGCGGCCAGGGAAGGAGGUUGCCAAGGCUUGUUCGGGGCCUGAGAAGAAGACUCUCAUCGUCAACAUGUCCGGGGCUCAAAAUGCGGUGCAGACGCGUUUCCUGGCGGUCGGGCUGUUCCUGUCCGUUCUAUUGGUGAACUCCAGGCAACUGAUCGACCACAUGAAGAAGGUUUGGAAGAUUCGUGGCGAACUGGGUGAUCAUGAGCUGGCUACAGAUGAAGGGCGCAAAUUCGUCCUCGAGUUCUCGGAGGAUGGUGACCGGCAACACGUCAUCAAGGGUGGUCCAUGGCAGUACAAGGGCGAUGCGUUCCUGGUCGGGCCUGGAGAAAGAGGUUGA
Molecule: ribosomal RNA, 1020 nt
Filed under: Triticum aestivum (bread wheat)
Lineage: Eukaryota; Viridiplantae; Streptophyta; Magnoliopsida; Poales; Poaceae
Description: partial small subunit ribosomal RNA
Source: RNAcentral